Molecule: unclassified non-coding RNA, 379 nt
Filed under: uncultured Actinomycetes bacterium
Lineage: Bacteria; Bacillati; Actinomycetota; Actinomycetes
Description: uncultured actinobacterium contains 16S-23S intergenic spacer region
Source: RNAcentral
UCCGAGUUGUCCCCGGCAGUCUCUUAUGAGUCCCCGGCAUAACCCGCUGGUAACAUAAGACAAGGGUUGCGCUCGUUGCGGGACUUAACCCAACAUCUCACGACACGAGCUGACGACAGCCAUGCACCACCUGUGAUCCUGCCCCGAAGGGAAACCCUGUUUCCAGGGUGGUCAGGAACAUGUCAAGCCCAGGUAAGGUUCUUCGCGUUGCAUCGAAUUGAGCCACAUGCUCCGCCGCUUGUGCGGGCCCCCGUCAAUCCCUUUGAGUUUUAGCCUUGCGGCCGUACUCCCCAGGCGGGGCACUUAAUGCGUUAGCUACGGCACGGAACCCGUUGAUAGAGCCCCACACCUAGUGCCCAACGUUUACGGCGUGGACUAC